Molecule: long non-coding RNA, 666 nt
Filed under: Nicotiana benthamiana
Lineage: Eukaryota; Viridiplantae; Streptophyta; Magnoliopsida; Solanales; Solanaceae
Description: long non-coding RNA (NBEN_LNC039748)
Source: RNAcentral
UGGUUCAAAGCCUUUCUCAGAUUUGAGUGUGUCAAAAUUCCCUAAGGGUCUCAGAGGACCCCGAGCAGUGCUCACACCCAAGUUGCAUUAAUCAGAAUAGAGAUGAGUGCAGUUUGGAAAAGGCCAGCCUUUAUGUGUCCAAGUUCAGAAGGAACUCAUAGGUCCUAAAGCAAGGCUCACACAAGAGCGGCAGAACUUAAAUCUAAGAGUGGAGUGGAAGUGCAGGAAGAGAGAUUUAAAAUUGAAUAAAAGAUAGAGAGGGAAAAGGCCGAUUGGGAAAUAACACUUAGUAAAGUUUCAGAGUUGAUGACUUCAUACAAAGGGGUUAGAGGGUUGGGGAUUCAUUGCAAAGAGCAUGUAUACUUGGGCAAAGUCCAGCUUUGGGGAUGCACAACAAUAGAAGAUGUCAGCAUGCCUAUGAGCGAACCAGAAUACACAACAAACAGAGGAAACGUUAGGGUUAUGAUCCAAGGAGGAUCAAGUUUGGGCCAUAGACAACAAUAAUUAAUGUUGCCAUGCCCCAUACCAACCACAAUUAUCAAAAAUAUCGGGGGUGGGGGAUUUAAGGUUCAUAGACCAUGAUAAGUAAGUAACAAACCAUUAAUUCAGAACAGACAAGGGAGAAUGCAACAUGCUUAAUAAUGGAAAUUAGUUAAACACAAACAU